CCUACGGGGGGCAGCAGUGGGGAAUAUUGGACAAUGGGGGCAACCCUGAUCCAGCCAUGCCGCGUGUGUGAAGAAGGCCCUCGGGUUGUAAAGCACUUUCAGUGAGGAAGAACGCCUGGUGGUUAAUACCCAUCAGGAAAGACAUCACUCACAGAAGAAGCACCGGCUAACUCACGUGCCAGCAGCCGCGGUAAUACGGAGGGUGCGAGCGUUAAUCGGAAUUACUGGGCGUAAAGCGCGCGUAGGUGGCUUGAUAAGCCGGUUGUGAAAGCCCCGGGCUCAACCUGGGAACGGCAUCACGAGCUCGCACGUAAGAGAGCAGGAGAGGACGGGAGAGUUACUGGUGAGGCGGUGAAACUCGUAGAGAACGGGAGGAAUGCGAGAGGCGGAGGCGGCAUAAUUGACUGACACCGCAACUGAAGUGCGAAGGGGUGGGUAGCGAACAGGGUCAGAUUGAUUAGCGUGC
RNAcentral lists this ribosomal RNA (466 nucleotides) under Vreelandella stevensii. RNAcentral describes it as "partial 16S ribosomal RNA". It matches the Rfam family "Bacterial small subunit ribosomal RNA", at positions 338 to 790 of the family's 1533-position model. Lineage: Bacteria; Pseudomonadati; Pseudomonadota; Gammaproteobacteria; Oceanospirillales; Halomonadaceae. The record is from RNAcentral.